GACGGCGGCGUGGGCGCUGCCUCAGGGGCCGACUCCGCCGCUGGUGGGAGAGCUGAGCCCCGCGAGGGGGUGGGGAGCUGCGUCAACUUCUUGCCCGCGGUGGUCUCUUUCCGCCUCCCCGCCCCACGCAGGCGCACUGGGCCCAUUUUCCCCACCCACCUGAGCCGCACCAAGCCAAGCCUCCCUCUUUCAAUCCUCCCGGCCGGGGGUGCUCUCAAGCCCCCCUUCCGGGCCCCUCUCCCCACGGCCCUGAAGCUCCUGCGCACCUGGGCUGAGGGAGCCUGUGGGCACCCCCGGAGUCGGGACAUCAGUGCUGUUUGGUGUUGUCACAGCGACCGGAAGGAUCUCGAUGGAGACAGCAUCUCCGGGUCCCCGCAGAAUGCGGAUUAACCCCUUCUCCUCCAGCUCCUCCACCUUCAGCUCUAGGGCCGAGGGCCGCGCCAGGGUCGCGGGAGGCACUUUCUCAGGCUCCGGGGGCCGCCUGGAGGUGCCCAUGGCGGUCGACUCGCUGUAGCGUUCCUGCGGGCGCCGGGGAAUGGCUCAGUGCCCACCAGCAGGCCUCCUGGCACAGCAUACCCCCAUCCUCCUCCUGGCACGGACGGGGAUGUGAAACCUAGACGCCCCUCUGGUCUGUCCUUGGGAACCCCGGCCGGCUCCCAGCCCGACCCACGGCCCCAUCCUCACCCGCAGGGUCUCCAGCUCCUUGCGGGCCUGGCUUAGCUGCUUUUCCAGCUCCGCGAUCUUGGCCAUGGAUUCGUUCUCCGCGUCCCGAAGCCGCUCUGUCAACUGUGGUACCGGCACAUGUGCCUGAGGCCACGUGGGGCCCUGUAACAGCCCUUCCUGGGGACCAGAGCCGCUGAACUGGGGGCAGGGCCGGCUCUCACCAGCGCCACCUGCUCCUGCAGCUCCUCCAUGUGCUCCAGCACUGCAUUCUUCGUCUCCGUGUCCUCCAGCAGAGCACCCACAUCAAAAACAUUGUCCAGGGUUAUGCAACAUCACCAUGAUCUAAUCCCAGAACAUUUUCAUUAUAUCCAAAAGAAACCCCAUACCCUUUAGCAGUUACUCCCCAUUCUCCACUCCCCCCAGCCCUGGCAACCACUAAUCUAUUUUCUGUCUCUAUGGAUUUGCCCAUUCUGGACAUUUCCUAUAAAUGGAAU
Long non-coding RNA from Choloepus didactylus (southern two-toed sloth), 1157 nucleotides. RefSeq lists it as uncharacterized. The record is from RefSeq and is a predicted model, not a curated record. NCBI's taxonomy places the organism in Eukaryota, Metazoa, Chordata, Mammalia, Pilosa, Megalonychidae. The transcript has 3 exons.